CCUGAGAAACCCAAAAGAUCGAAUGGGGAGAUUCAUCGUCAGCGUGGCUGGCUUCCGUGCGGUUCGCGAUGGCCGGGACCUCGGUCCCGUGUCACGCGUCCGCCGCGGUAUGCCCGGCCGCGUCGGCGUGCACUUCUCCCCUAGUAGGACGUCGCGACCCGUUGGGUGUCGGACCGAUGGCCGUUUGGUCGCCUGUCUCGUCGCGUUCACGCGUGUACGUGGCAGACCGAAAUGGUCGAGCGUCCGGCUGCCCGGCGGUAUAGAACGCUAUUGAACGGUAAUGAGCCGCAUUAAGUGCGUUCAGGCUCGUCGGCAGGCUCGUCUCGCCCGGAUUUACGGACCUAGCGCCGUUGCCGGGUGCUUGGCGUGGCUGUUAGUCGGCGAUGUCCUCGGACUGGCUCUAAAAUUCGAAAGGAUUACCGGUCGGCGACGCUACUGCUUUGGGUACUUUC
This 452-nucleotide ribosomal RNA is filed under the name Entedon sp. RDB-1999. RNAcentral's name for it is "eukaryotic LSU rRNA". The record is from RNAcentral. Lineage: Eukaryota; Metazoa; Arthropoda; Insecta; Hymenoptera; Eulophidae.